ACCGGUUGAUUCUGCCGGAGUCAGCUGCUAUUGGAGUUGUACUAAGUCAUGCAAGUUAACGCACCGCCUAUGUUGGUGCGUGGCGAAAAGGUGAGUAACGCGUAGUGAAUCUGCCCUCAGCUGGCGUCUAACCAGGGGAAACUCUGGCUAACCCGCUAUAAUCCCCCUAUGUUGGAAUACUUGGGGGACAAAAGGAGUGCGAGCAUGGUCGCACACGACUGAAGACGACACUGCGUCCAAUUAGGUAGUAGGUGGGGUAACGGCCCACCUAGCCGAGGAUUGGUAUCGGUUGUUAGCGCAAGGACCGACACUUGGAUUCUGAGACAACAAUCCAGGGGCUAUGGCUUGCAGCAGGCGAGAAAACUGGGCAAUGCACGCAAGUGUGACCCGGCAACUCCAAGUCCCAGGGGCAACUCUGGGUUUUAAUCAGUCUGAACCACUGGUUGAAUAAGGAGAGGGCAAGAACGGUGCCAGCCGCCGCGGUAAAACCGUCUCUUCGAGUGGCUGACGCGAUUAUUGGGCCUAAAGCAUCCGUAGGCGGACCGGUCCGUCCCAGAUUAAAGCCAGCGUCUCAAGCGUUUGAACUGUCUGGGAAACUGCCGGUCUUGGCAAUGGGAGAGGUGAGCGGUACUCAAGGAGUAGGGGUGAAAUCCUAUAAUCCUUUGGGGACCACCGAUGGCGAAGGCAGCUCACUGGAACAUGUGCGACGCUGAUGGAUGAAAGCCAGGGGAGCGAGUCGGAUUAGAUACCCGGGUAGUCCUGGCCGUAAACGAUGCGGACUAAGUGUAGAAGAGUCCUGAGGCUCUUCUGUGCCGAAGCGAAGGCGUUAAGUCCGCCGCCUGGGAAGUACGGUCGCAAGACUGAAACUUAAAGAAAUUGGCGGGAGAGCGCCACAACCGGUGGAGCCUGCGGUUUAAUUGGACCCAGCGCCGGAAACCUCACCAGAGCCGACAGCAUUAUGAUAGUCAGUCUAAAGGGCUUACUUGAAGCGCUGAGCGGAGGUGCAUGGCCGUCGACAGUUCGUGCCGUGAGGUGUCGUGUUAAGUCACGCAACGAACGAGACCUCUGCCGUUAGUUGCUAGCGAGCCCUGCGGGGUGUCGAGGACACUAACGGGACUGCCAGUGCUAAACUGGAGGAAGGUGGAGGCUACGGCAGGUCAGUAUGCCCCUAAUGCUCUGGGCCACACGCGGGCUACAAUGGAUAGGACAAUGGGCCCCUACUCUGAAAAGAGACGGAAAUCUCGAAACCUAUCCGCAGUCGGGAUUGCGGGUUGCAACCCACCCCCAUGAACUUGGAAUCGGUAGUAAUCGCGUUUCAUCAUAACGCGGUGAAUACGUCCCCUCUCUUUGCACACACCGCCCGUCGCAGCACGGAAGUUGGGGAUGGAUGAGGCCGUAACUUAGGUGUUAUGGUCGAGUCUGGCCUCGAUGACUGGGCUGAAGUCGUAACAAGGUA
RNAcentral lists this ribosomal RNA (1456 nucleotides) under metagenome. Its description in RNAcentral is "bacterial SSU rRNA". It matches the Rfam family "Archaeal small subunit ribosomal RNA". The record is from RNAcentral.